CCCGAACUUACGCUAAUACUAACUUUCCAACCCACACUGGAAGACACAGGCAUUUCAAUUUCAAUGCUAUCUGUCUACCUGACCCUGACCCUAACCCUAACCCUAGCCCUAACCCUACCAGAACAAUAAGUCAUCCUCAAGUACCACUCUUUCUGCACUAUCCAUGACCCUUCCAAAAAGAAGGACCCCAAUCCUAACAAUCAUGCCCACACUCCAAACGUCAGGUACAUGAAUUGGCACCCUAAACCUGAACCUACUCCUAACCCUAACCCUAACCCUACAGGCUCAGGAACGAAUCACAAUACACAGG
RNAcentral lists this long non-coding RNA (310 nucleotides) under Heterocephalus glaber (naked mole-rat). Its description in RNAcentral is "lncRNA (ENSHGLG00100052263.1)". Lineage: Eukaryota; Metazoa; Chordata; Mammalia; Rodentia; Bathyergidae. The record is from RNAcentral.